Molecule: long non-coding RNA, 2375 nt
Organism: Oncorhynchus keta (chum salmon)
Lineage: Eukaryota; Metazoa; Chordata; Actinopteri; Salmoniformes; Salmonidae
Exons: 5
Source: RefSeq, a predicted model, not a curated record
UUCCCACAGUUGACAAUGAAUGUCAGAGCAAAAAACCAAGUUAUGAGGUAGAAGGCAUUGUCCGGAGAGUGCGAUUCUGAUGAAAGGCAGCAAAGUCUCGAUCUCGUCAGGAAGACUCUGAGCAGCUGCGGUUGAAACCGAAAGCCAAAGAGGAGCUGUUUCAGUUGAGAUCGAAGGAAGCUAACCUGAUGGCACUGGCAAUUGUCGGCCCCAGGAAGAUGAGGAAAAUGGAGGCUGCAGCCGCUGGAGCGGAGAACAUGGGCUCUGGGUCAUAUCCCUCUGCGUCUGGUAGUGCUAGUUCUGGAGCGUCCAGACAAUUUACCCGCCAGAGCAUCACUCGUGUCGACCCCAGGGACAUGCUCUUCUGUCUGGAGAAUGAGAGAGAGACCAGUCACUCCCACUUCAUCGACAGAAGCUUCCUUAAAAAGACACCCCAUAGAGACAGACCGGAGAGCUGUCAUUCUCGCAUCCACUAUAGCAACUCCCUCAAAUAGAGAGCCCAGACAAAAAGUUCUACGCCUGACUGCUCCCUCUACACUCCACCUUCCCCCAGAGCAUUCCUGGGACUCUCACAUGUUCUAGAUUUUUAUAAAUGUUUUACUUACAAUGGAAUUCUAAAAGUAAUUAAAGUGUAAAUAUUUGCAUUAUAUUAAUAUACAUUUGACUUGGAAGGCCAUUUUGUAGUUGCAAAUGACAGUUGUACACAUUCCAAGUGAUUUUACAAGUCUGUUUAUAUGAAACCAUGUUUUAAAGAAUGAAUCAGCUGUGUUUCUAAUGGUUGUUAAGAACAAUCUCUUUGUUUUGUGAUAGUUAGUCUAUUGACCUCUUUCUGCUUGUCUACUGCAGUGGUUCCCAAUCAGAGGUACGAGACCCCUGGGGGUACUUGGUCUAUCUACAGGGGGUACUUGAGACGACUCAUGAGACCAUAGGCCUACUGGUCAAAUGCACAUGAGGGGUACUUCAGGGGUACUUAAGGCAGAGCAAAAUUCAGUUGGUGGUUCAGUAACCAAAAAAGGUUCGUAACCACUUGUCUACUGAGUUUUCUUCCUGACAAAAUAAGCCAUAUAUUUGUAUCUGAUCUUAAACAGCACCGCAGUGACUCUAGUGACUCCUGCUGAAAUCUGACGCAGUAGAUUUUUUUCUCUUCAGUUUUAUGUUUGAGCUUAUCUUGAAUUGAUUUAACACCUGAUUUACUUAACAAAAGGCACAUCUCAAUAGGUGGUCCAGGUAUCCUCAUGACAUGGGUCAAGUGAGGCCCUAGCUAGAGCUCAGUAUUACUUUUCCAGAUCACUUUGAUUUUAGAUGCAGAUUGUUCAAUACUUUUUCAUAUUUGUCUCUUACGAAGAAAUAAAAGUAAGAGGGGGAUUGGAAGCAUAGCAUGUCUCCCUUAUUUUGAGUACAUUUUGCACAGACACUUGUUCAUAUGUAAAUAUUUUACCUAAAGUGUUUAACUGCAAUGGUUUUGUUUAGGAUUGGAAGAGAAUAAACCCCUUCAAUAAAAGUGGAAAAAAUAUUUAUUCCUUGCCAUAUCUUAUACAAGUACUUGGGAGUAUGUCUAGAUGGUGCACUGUCCUUCUCUCAGCACAUACCAAAGCUGCAGGCUAAAGUUAAAUCUAGAUUUGGUUUCCUCUAUCGUAAUCCCUCUUUCACACCAGCUGCCAAACUAACCCUGAUUCAGAUGACUGUCCUACCCAUACUAGAUUACAAAGACAUAAUUUAUAGAUUGGCAUGUAAGGGUGCUCUCGAGCGGCUAGAUGUUCUUUAGGGGGCCUUCAGGUUUGCCACCAAUGCUCCUUAUAGGACACAUCGCUGCACUCCUCUGUAAACUUUUAUUUUACUAGGCAAGUAAGUUAAGAACAAAUUCUUAUUUCCAAUGACGGCCUAGUGGGUUCAGGGGAACAACAGAUUUUGUACCUUGUCAGCUCGGGGAUUUGAACUUCCAACCUUUCGGUUACUAGUCCAAUGCUCUAACCACUAGGCUACCCUGCCGCCCCUGGUCGUCUCUGUAUACCCGUCGCAAGACACACUGGUUUAUGCUUAUUUUUAAAACCCUCUUAGGCCUCACUCCCCCUAUCUGAGAUAUCUACUGCAGCCUCAUCCUCCACAUACAACACCUGUUCUGCCAGUCACAUUCUGCUAAAGGUCCCCAAAGCACACACAUCCCUGGGUCGCUCCUCUUUUCGGUUCGCUGCAGCUAGCAACUGGAACGAGCUGCAACAAACACUCAAACUGGACAGUUUUAUCUCAAUCUUUUCAUUGAAAGACUCAAUCAUGGACACUCUUACUGACAGUUGUGGCUGCUUUGUGUGAUGUAUUGUUGUCUCUACCUUCUUGACCUUUGUGCUGUUGUCUGUGCCCAAUAAUGUUUGUACCAU